This 253-nucleotide ribosomal RNA is filed under the name uncultured bacterium. RNAcentral's name for it is "partial 16S ribosomal RNA". It matches the Rfam family "Bacterial small subunit ribosomal RNA", at positions 524 to 776 of the family's 1533-position model. The record is from RNAcentral.
UACGUAGGGUGCAAGCGUUGUCCGGAAUUAUUGGGCGUAAAGAGCUCGUAGGCGGUCUGUCGCGUCGGCUGUGAAAACCCGAGGCUCAACCUCGGGCCUGCAGUCGAUACGGGCAAACUAGAGUACUGCAGGGGAGAAUGGAAUUCCUGGUGUAGCGGUGAAAUGCGCAGAUAUCAGGAGGAACACCGGUGGCGAAGGCGGUUCUCUGGGCCUUACCUGACACUGAGGAGCGAAAGCGUGGGGAGCGAACAGG